Molecule: ribosomal RNA, 468 nt
Filed under: uncultured bacterium
Lineage: Bacteria
Description: partial 16S ribosomal RNA
Rfam family: Bacterial small subunit ribosomal RNA
Source: RNAcentral
GACGAACGCUGGCGGCGUGCUUAACACAUGCAAGUCGAACGGAAAGGCCCUGCUUUUGUUGGGUGCUCGAGUGGCGAACGGGUGAGUAACACGUGAGUAACCUCCCCUGGACUUUGGGAUAACGUCAGGAAACUGGGGCUAAUACCGGAGAGGAGCUCCUGCUGCAUGGUGGGGGUUGGAAAGUUUCGGCGGUUGGGGAUGGACUCGCGGCUUAUCAGCUUGUUGGUGGGGUAGUGGCUUACCCAGGCUUUGGCGGGUAGCCGGCCUGAGAGGGUGACCGGCCACCUUGGGACUGAGAUACGGCCCAGACUCCUACGGGAGGCAGCAGUGGGGAAUAUUGCACAAUGGGCGGAAGCGUGAUGCAGCAACGCCGCGUGCGGGAUGACGGCCUUCGGGUUGUAAACCGCUUUCGCCUGUGACGAAGCGUGAGUGACGGUAAUGGGUAAAGAAGCACCGGCUAACUACGUG